CUAUAGAUAGUGCAAUAUAAGUUGGUUUUAUUUCUGAAAUGAUGGCAGGAAAGGAAUUGUGGGAUGAGUGUGGAAGCUCACCCAAUUGUUGCUGCUGCUGGAAGAUCAACAGAAAGAACCAGCGCUCGACUCGUAAUGGCAAUGUUGGCUAAAUGUAAAUUGAUUUCACUAUUAAUUUUAUUACAAACGGGUGCUUCUUCACUGGUGUUGGUUUUGCUGAAAUUCUUGAAUCAGAACUUCAUCUACGAAGCAAAGGCAUUGAUGCACAGGUGGCUUCUGGUUGGGGGCGCAUGUAUGUCACCAUGAUGUCUGGUUGUCCUCAGUCCUUCUUUGCAAUUAGAUAUCAAGCAAUAUACAUGAAUGACUAUUUCCAUUCCCACAUACCAACCACACAUGGUAAUGGAAUGCAAGUGAUCAUGUUUACUGCUC
Molecule: long non-coding RNA, 429 nt
Organism: Helianthus annuus (common sunflower)
Lineage: Eukaryota; Viridiplantae; Streptophyta; Magnoliopsida; Asterales; Asteraceae
Exons: 3
Source: RefSeq, a predicted model, not a curated record